Molecule: long non-coding RNA, 250 nt
Filed under: Marmota monax (woodchuck)
Lineage: Eukaryota; Metazoa; Chordata; Mammalia; Rodentia; Sciuridae
Source: RNAcentral
UAAAAAUAUUUUUUAAAUAAAAUAAAUAUGAAUUUCACCUGUUGCUUACAAUUUUUAAAAAUUUGCACUUUACAAGUGUGCAUAUUAUACACUUUUGGAGGAUAUGCUUAGUAAUGCUAUAUGUGAUUUUUCUGGAGGUUGAUAACUGCUCAUUCUUUUUAAAGAAAAUCUACCCCAAGCAAAGUUAUGUGCAUACUUCAAAGUAUUCUCCUGUACCUAAAUAGAUAGACAGAUAGAUAGAUAGAUAGAU